CUUUACUGUAGCCUGGUAUUGGGUUCGGGCUUUGACUGCGCAGGAUAGGUGGGAGACUGAGAAGUGUGCCUUGUGGGGCACAUAGGGUCAACGGUGAGAUACCACUCUGUCAGAGCUAGAAUUCUAACCUUCACCCGUGAUCCGGGGAAGGAACCGUAUCAGGUGGGCAGUUUGACUGGGGCGGUCGCCUCCUAAAAGGUAACGGAGGCGCGCAAAGGUGUUCUCAGGCUGGUUGGAAAUCAGCCGUAGAGUGUAAGGGCAGAAGAACGCUUGACUGUGAGAGUGACAACUCGAGCAGGGUGGAAACACGGCCUUAGUGAUCCGACGGUAUGUGCGUGGAAAUGCCGUCGCUCAACGGAUAAAAGUUA
Molecule: ribosomal RNA, 368 nt
Filed under: uncultured organism
Description: bacterial LSU rRNA
Rfam family: Bacterial large subunit ribosomal RNA
Source: RNAcentral